UGGUGCCCAAAGUGUGGGGCCUGGAUACAGGGGUCUCCGUGAGGAAGAAGACUCAUGUGGCCGGCAUUAUAUAUAGAAAUUUCUUCGAACGCCGUGGGAGCCUGCUGUGGCCAAAACGAAGGUGAGUGAUAGAGUCUGAUUAUGGGACAAGCAUUAAACCAACAUGAGGUCUAUGUGAGACAGUUAAAGGCAUUAAAGAUGCAGGGAGUAAAGGUAAAACCCAAUGAUUUAUUUAAUGUUUUGAUUUUGUUAAGGAUCUUUGCCCUU
Rattus norvegicus (Norway rat) is the source of this 267-nucleotide non-coding RNA. NCBI's taxonomy places the organism in Eukaryota, Metazoa, Chordata, Mammalia, Rodentia, Muridae. The record is from Rfam.